GAUGAACGCUGGCGGCGUGCCUAAUACAUGCAAGUCGAGCGAACAGACGAGGAGCUUGCUCCUCUGACGUUAGCGGCGGACGGGUGAGUAACACGUGGAUAACCUACCUAUAAGACUGGGAUAACUUCGGGAAACCGGAGCUAAUACCGGAUAAUAUAUUGAACCGCAUGGUUCAAUAGUGAAAGACGGUUUUGCUGUCACUUAUAGAUGGAUCCGCGCCGCAUUAGCUAGUUGGUAAGGUAACGGCUUACCAAGGCAACGAUGCGUAGCCGACCUGAGAGGGUGGUCGGCCACACUGGAACUGAGACACGGUCCAGACCCCGACGGGAGGCAGCAGUAGGGAAUCUUCCGCAAUGGGCGAAAGCCUUACGGAGCAACGCCGCGUGAGUUAUGAAGGUCUUCGGAUCGUAAAACUCUGUUAUUAGGGAAGAACAAAUGUGUAAGUAACUAUGCACGUCUUGACGGUACCUAAUCAGAAAGCCACGGCUAACUACGUG
This 497-nucleotide ribosomal RNA is filed under the name uncultured bacterium. RNAcentral describes it as "partial 16S ribosomal RNA". It matches the Rfam family "Bacterial small subunit ribosomal RNA", at positions 28 to 507 of the family's 1533-position model. The record is from RNAcentral.